Molecule: ribosomal RNA, 379 nt
Filed under: uncultured eukaryote
Lineage: Eukaryota
Description: partial 18S ribosomal RNA
Rfam family: Eukaryotic small subunit ribosomal RNA
Source: RNAcentral
CAAUAGCGUAUAUUAAAGUUGUUGCAGUUAAAAAGCUCGUAGUUGGAUUUGUGGCGUACGGUGUGUUCCGGGCACUUGUUGUCUGAGUAACCUGCUGUUGCCAUCCUUGGGUGGAACCUGUGUGGCAUUAGGUUGUCGUGCAGGGGAUGCCCAUCAUUUACUGUGAAAAAUUAGAGUGUUCAAAGCAGGCUUAUGCCGUUGAAUAUAUUAGCAUGGAAUAAUGAGAUAGGACUUUUUUGCUAUUUUGUUGGUUUGCGCAAGAAGGUAAUGAUUAAUAGGGACAGUUGGGGGUAUUCGUAUUCCAUUGUCAGAGGUGAAAUUCUUGGAUUUUUGGAAGACGAACUACUGCGAAAGCAUUUACCAAGGAUGUUUUCAUUAA